CGUCGGUCACGACCCUGCACAGGUACCCUCCGGCAUCCUCCAGGUUCAGGGCUGCGCCGUGCUUCACCAGGAGGGAGGUGAUCCUGUCGUGCCCGGAUCUCAGGGCUAGCAGCAACGUUGAGUUCCCAAACUUAUCUGCAGGAACCUGACGAUAUCUUCAUAUCCUCUUAACGCGGCCACAUGCUGUAAUAACGUAAAGUCCAGGAAAGAGUUUGGUAAAUCUACAAUUUAUUCAAAAUUGCAGGUAUUUUCUUUCACAUGGUUCUAUCCAAAAGAGGAGGUAAUUUGCAAUAUGCUAUUUCAUAUUUUCAGAAAGGAGGAAAAAAUGUAUUUCAUGCUGCACUUGUUUCAGUGAAAAUGAACUUCUGUACUCUGAAUUACAAUUUUUUUUCGAAAUAAAGAAUUACAGUUACUAUAUGAGAGAGUUCACAUACCAGUGCGGUCCUUCCAUCGUAAUCGGGUUUACUAGGAUCAGCUCCUGCACUGAUCAAACCCUUCAAACGGAACAAGUCUCCAUGGUAAGCAGCAUUGUUCACUCCGAGAACUAGUUCUGCUUCUUGCCUUGAUAUCAGGUAUGUGAUGUCUGAUUCGAGCUGCUUCCCUCUGGAUUUGGUUUUUCUCCACUACAGGAAUAAAAAAAUUCAUUUGCAGCUAAGUUUUGAUCCAGACUCGCUGUUGUUGACAUGUUACCUUCAGCAGGUUGCUCAAGAUCUGACGGCUAUCCUUGAAGUAAAUUUGCAGAAUGCUGGUCAGGGACUGCUUGUCGAUUCUCAGGACGCUGCAAAGCUCACAGACCCUAACUGUGUGUGGCUGUGGAACAUUGCAAACUACAGCAACAUCGCCGACGAUGUCGUAAGGCAGCAGCUCUGAGAUGAUCUCCUCUGAUCCACCUUCUCCAGCGGCCACCUCUUCCUGUGACAGUAAUAAUAGGAUGAUUGAUACAGUGAUACAGCUGAGUUCUGUUUUCUCAUAACUCAUGUAUUCUUUUCCUUCAAACUGAAUAGUGGAAAUUUUAGAAUCAUGGUUAUAAAAUUGUUGCUGAAAAUUAGUACCAGGCAUCCGUGUACGACAAUAUAAAUUUGGUCCACCACAGUGCCUUGCUCUAAGAUAACCUCACCAGGGAGGAAGAAUUCUUCAUGCAAUUUUACCACCUGAAAUUAUAGAUGGAAAAGUUUGAAUGAAUACCAUGCUUGUACUAACUAUAUUUACGAAUUACUAGUGAGAAACAUGAAUCCACUCAAAAGCUUACAAUCUGGCUCAGGAAGUCCUCUGAACAUCCUUUGAACAGGCGCACUUUCGAAACCAUGUCGAGAAGAUUGUCUACCUUUGAUCGAACAGCAACCGGGAUAUCGUCGACGACUCUGUCCUUGGUGUAGCUGCUCUCAUACUGCAGCAGCAAGUGAUCCUUCACCUGGGACCUGAUGUCGGCGCCCAGCUUGUUCCUGUUCAUGUACCUGAUGAGAUAGGCGCUGAGAAGGAUGCUGAACGAGAUGUACGCCACGGUGAAGGUCAUCUCCCUCGGGUUCACCGCAUGGAUGUCGCCGUAACCUGCAGAAUGCCUUUGCACGAUCAGAAACUACUGCAGAUUUGUCGAUCCACAUGAUGGACAAGAUGACCGAUCGAGAGCACCGUCGUACCGACUGUCGCCAUGGUGACGAUGGCGACGUACAGCGAGGUGACGUAGCGGGUGAGCAGGUCGAUCUCCCUGAAGCUGAUGUACCUGGUGUCCCCCAGUAUCAGGCCCCCGAUCCAGGUGCCGCCCUCGCGCGCCGGCGGCAGCGUGGUGGCGAGGUAGUAAAAGACGCAGGCGGCGGUGUGCGUGAAGUAGAGCUCGACGGUGAUGAGCUUCACGAUCCGCGUGAAGAGGUAGCUGAUGCGGAUGUCCUUCUCCAUCUUCUUGAAGAAGGCCAUGAUCUUGCGGGCCCUGUACAGCCGCAGCCACACCAGGCACCUCACCAUCUCCGUCCUUCCCGUGGCCUGAUAGACACAGGGAACGAACAGUCUUGUGAAUUGUGAUGAACAGAAACUCCUCUCUGACGCUCAGUGGUAAUUGUAGUUGCAGGGAUUGAGAUGCCACCUUGUAUAUGAAAUCCCAUGGGAAGCAACCUAGGAUGUCAAGAGCGAAGCUUCCUUUGAUGUAGCUGCAGAAGAACAUCAUAUUCA
Long non-coding RNA from Panicum hallii, 2163 nucleotides. RefSeq lists it as uncharacterized. NCBI's taxonomy places the organism in Eukaryota, Viridiplantae, Streptophyta, Magnoliopsida, Poales, Poaceae. The record is from RefSeq and is a predicted model, not a curated record. The transcript has 4 exons.